GCCCGAGACCCACAAAAAGGCCGUCCCAGACUAGCUGCACCAAUCACAAGCCAGCCUGCCGGCUCUGUAACUUGAGCGCCGGGCUCCCCCUAGUGGACAAAAGAGGGAAAUCCACAAGCGCGACCUCCUUCCCUCCCUCCCGGGACACAGCCCUGGCACACUUUCCGAAGAAAAAAGAAGCGAUGCGGGCAGCCUCCUGCGCUCGGGGGCGCCCGGGGAAAGGACGUUUAGCGCUCCUCCCCGGCCUCCUCAUUUCCCCAAGACACUGGACAUGCGCCACGUACGUCCUCCCAGCAGCUUCUGUAAUCCGCCGGACGCCACUGUUCCCUGAGCCCGAUCCCACCAAGCAAACUUCAGCCUCAGUGAAUCCCCGACAUUCCUCUUGCAAGGCUCGGGCAGUCGCCUUUGGGAAGGCGGGGUGCGGGGGGGGGGCGGGGGGGGAGCGCUCCUUUAGAAAUGACUCAUGAUGUCUGCAAGACACAAUGCUUUCCCAUUAACGAGCAAGACGAGGGGAAGGAUUGGGCUUCUGUUCCGAGAAUUUUCUCCAGUACAGUUCCCACUCCGAGGGCGCCUUCCACGCCUGUGUGAAGCGGCGGCUGAGAAAAAUUCUCUAGAAAAUUUCCCAAAAACCUAAAGACGGGAUGAAAAUGAAAAGAAUAGACAAAAGAAUCCACAAACUGAAAAUACUCUGGAAUGCCACAGUCAAAAUUCAAAGCUUGCAAAUCAAAGAAAAUAUAAAGAGCCAGAAAAAAAAUAAUUCAAGUAUCAAGCAAGAUUAAAACUUGACCCUGGAGGAGCUCCAGCUUGCGACCUCAGACUGCUUUUGGAUCUUCCUUUAGGACUACCGUGUAACAGACGAUGACUGCCAUGGCUGCCAGUUGUCCCCGGUUCCUUCUCCAGGUCCUGUUCAAGGGGUCCUUGGGAUCUCUCUCUUCCCUGAUACUUCCUGCUCUGGUGUUUAGUCUCUGCCUACUUUAUUGCUUGUAAGUAUUGGAAUGGUCCUUGAUGCUAUCAUUUCAGUGUGAGCCUUGCCAGUCCCUGCCCCCUGUUUGCAGACGUUUUAUCUUCCUAAGGUGCCCUGGGAUAGAAAAAUGACUUGGUGAUAUCUUCUUGGUUUUCCCAAUAAGAAUCUGGCCCAGUGAGGGUAGGACUCCCACUCUGCCAUGUGGAUUCUGCCCUAGACGUCCAAGGUUGUUUUUUCUCUACCUUGUUUACGUUGUUCUAGUUUUACUCACUUCUCAGUUUGCUCUGAAACUAUCCACUCUGUUAUGUCUCACAUAGAAUUCUAUUACAUUCAUACACCACAAUUUGUCCAGCCAGUCUCCAAUGGGGGGGUGCUUCCUUGUGAAGAUGGGAUUCACUCUCCCCUGCCCAUUUCUAGAUUUCAUCACCAGAAGUGUAUACACCCCACUUACCCUUGAGUGGGGGAGGUCUGUGACCCACAUGGGCCAUAGUGGCUGAUGAAUCAGAAUCGCCUGACAGCCCCUGGGCAGUCCUAGGCAAAGCUUUAGCUGUAAUUGGUACAUGCCAAAUGGAAGGAAGUCACAGGAAGUGAUGAAGAGGAAGGUCUUUCAAAAUGCAAGAACUUCCUGUGAGGGCUCCUUUGCCCUGAACUUGAUCUUGAAGGAGCUCCAGCUUGAGGCCUCAGACUGCUCUUGGACUUUUCCCUUAGAACUAUCACAUGGGGUGAGUGAAAAAGGCCGACGCCUUUCCUGGAUCUUCUGAAGGGACCAGCCUCAGGAGAGGCCUCCCCUCUCGAGAGAGGCUCCCUGCAUCCCCAGGUCCUCGUCCUGUCUCAAGGCAGAGGCCUCUCUGGCUAAGGACUAAACUCCCCUGCCUGGGUUGAGCCAGGGGUUGGAGCAGAAUACUCAGUGCGUAGACGAGAUAUCUUACCCAUCCUCUCUGAUUUUCUUACUUCACUCUUUCUGUGUUUUAUAAAUAAAUUGCUAAAAAAUUAAAAACAACAUUUUGGAAUUGAUUAAAAUUCCUGGUGACCCUAGUCUUGAAUAGUCCAGUCCAACCUUUCAU
This is a long non-coding RNA of Monodelphis domestica (gray short-tailed opossum), 2028 nucleotides long. RefSeq lists it as uncharacterized. Lineage: Eukaryota; Metazoa; Chordata; Mammalia; Didelphimorphia; Didelphidae. The record is from RefSeq and is a predicted model, not a curated record.